Long non-coding RNA from Athalia rosae (coleseed sawfly), 1934 nucleotides. RefSeq lists it as uncharacterized. The record is from RefSeq and is a predicted model, not a curated record. NCBI's taxonomy places the organism in Eukaryota, Metazoa, Arthropoda, Insecta, Hymenoptera, Athaliidae. The transcript is spliced from 3 exons.
GUAGGAAAUAAAAUGAAAUUGAUGAUUUGACGAAAAUUAAGAGAUUACGAUGAUAGAAGAGAAACCAAAAACACAUGAAGCGCCAGUUAUCCUAGAUAUAAAGUGAACGGUAAUCAACACCGUGUAAGUUGUAAAAGAAAUUUUUAAUGACCUCUCAGCCACCGUAACGUUAUGUCAACGUUACUUAAGUGCAAAAGGAGAUAUUUCGAAACACUCUUUACAGACAUCCUAUUACACCGCUCUCAUUAUCGUCUUAGGUAGGUACGUUAAAUCUUUUAGAGACUUUCUCGUAGAAUUUUCUGAGAAAGCGAACCAACGACUCAUAAUAUAAGGCAGAAAAUGUCCGUGGAAAAUGAACGUUGAUUAAUCAACGGUUUGAUCGUGAGCGUGAAAACGUUGAAUCUCGGUCGCGGCGUAUACAUAUAUAUACGUAGUUUACGGUUCAACCCCCCCUCGCCUGUACGCUUUUACCAAUCUAGUUACGAACCUGGCGAGAAGUUGAAAAAGUUUUUUGCCUCUAUCUCGGUGCGCAGCGUGCGACGUCGGUCCCCGGGAGCGAGUAAACGUGUAGGAUAUCUAUAUCUAGGCCCGGGUACGGGUUAAGCCUCCAGUAUUAAGACACGAUGUAAGAAGGCGCGGAUACGGUGCGCCCGGCGGUCGGUGAUCUAUGGCGGGAUUACCGGCAGCGGUAUUUCUUCAUAACCGUUUCUCCUUCUCCUUCUCUUUCUACCGCUCCUUAUUCCCUCGGUUUCACCUUCUCCUUCGUCUCCUCGCCCCGUUCGCUUCGCUCCUGUAUCUCCCCGCCGCCCCCAUAUACCAUCCCGCUUUGCGGGGGGGUUGUAUCUUAAUAACAUUCAUGAGCUCAGAUAUACUUGCUAGAUUUAUUGCCGCUGCUCCAAGAGCAAACCUCUAUCCCUCUCCGGCCCCGGGGCGCCUCCGACGUCCCGAACGCGCGACCAUUCUGGACCAAAGAUUCGCGCAACGAAACGGCGACGCGCGUCAAUCCACGGAUAUCACGAAAUGCGGGAGUCGUCGCAGUGGUCGUCGAACAUCUCGACAAUUUUUUGGAUCACCGUUCGGUCGCUCGAACGCGAACGUGAAGAAAUUCGGUUUACAAUAUUAACCGAUAAGGCUGUGGACGGAAGAAAGCAAAGGUUUUAUCUGUUAUCAAUUGAGUUUCUCCCCACCGUAUUAUAAUAGCCAGCGUUUUCCCCAGCCAUCCGGGGGUUUCCAGCAGCAGUUUUCCCGCGACUGGUACGUCGACGACCCGCGCUUCGAUAUUUAUGGCCUUCUGUAUAUUACAUAUCAGUGCUGACUUCUUUUUACUCCCUUUGUACCGCGCGCAUAUUUUCCAACGGAGAUUCCUUCCUGCCACGAGGACGAAAAGUAAAUUAAGCCGCCUCGCGCGAAUAUUCCAACCCCCCGGUAAAAUGUAGGGCAGUUGUUCAUAAAACGCGUGAAAAACCGCAUCGGGUACAACGGACAAGCUAUAGAGAAAACUGGAGAAGAAGAAUAAUCGUGAAACUAAUCGCUGUCCGACAUCCCCUCGCACCCCGCGCAAGGGCCUCAACCCUACGACGAAGCGUAACGCGUGUAUAGGUUUAGGAGUCUCGCUCGCUUCUUUGCUUACGCCCCGAAGAAGUCACCCCCCCCGCGGGGGUUUGGAUGCGACAUAGCGCGGCGAGCGUCGAGGGGGUGGAAGAAAACCAGAGGAACAUACGAAGGUACGAACGUCGUCGCCGCCGUGUUGGUGAGAGCCGAGAUGCGCGGGUGUUGGCGUAAGCUGCUCGCGCGCCGCGCAAGGCAAUACAGAUUUAUGUAAUAUUUCAUAAUCAGCGAGAGGAUUUCACCGAAACCACGCUCACAGCCGUGAAUCGCGUGUAGAGAUCAUUAGGCGUCGGCAAUAAACUAAUCAAAGUGAUAAGAAAAAAUGU